Long non-coding RNA from Rhodamnia argentea, 475 nucleotides. RefSeq lists it as uncharacterized. The transcript is spliced from 3 exons. The record is from RefSeq and is a predicted model, not a curated record. Lineage: Eukaryota; Viridiplantae; Streptophyta; Magnoliopsida; Myrtales; Myrtaceae.
CCAUUAUCCACCUCUUCAUAGCACGAUUCCGCUAAUGGCAUCCGAGAAAGAUACAUUUAAUGCAAAAUGGAUCGAUCAUUUCACCAAUCUCUUUAUAAGUUUGACGGAAGAAGAGGUAAAAAAGGGAAAUCGCAUCUCUUGUACCUUCAACAAAGCGGGGUGGAAUACCAUACUGGUUGAAUUCAAUACUCGGGCAGGACUCCAAUAUAAGCAAUCACAAUUGAAGAACAAGAUGAAAAAACUAAGAAGAUAGUUUGGAAGUUUUAAGGAGCUUUUGACACCAUUCAGAUUUGCUUGGGAUAAUGUAAAUAAAACAAUUGUUGUCGAUGAUCCAAGUAUAUGGGAAUAUCACAUCAAGGAUAAUAUUGAGUGGGCAAAUUUCAAGAAGGAUGGGAUUCCUUAGUGUUCCGAGCUGUCUAUUGUAUUUGGUGAUACAUACACUAAUGGCAAGCAAGAUAUAGGAAAUGUCUAAGAU